Molecule: ribosomal RNA, 470 nt
Filed under: uncultured bacterium
Lineage: Bacteria
Description: bacterial SSU rRNA
Rfam family: Bacterial small subunit ribosomal RNA
Source: RNAcentral
GAUGAACGCUAGCGGCAGGCUUAACACAUGCAAGUCGAGGGGCAGCAUAAUGAAGUAGCAAUACUGAAUUGAUGGCGACCGGCGCACGGGUGCGUAACGCGUAUGUAACCUACCUCUAACAGGGGGAUAACACUGAGAAAUUGGUACUAAUACCCCAUAACACUUGAUAGGGCAUCCUAUUGAGUUGAAAGUUCCGGCGGUUAGAGAUGGACAUGCGUUGUAUUAGCUAGAUGGUGAGGUAACGGCUCACCAUGGCGACGAUACAUAGGGGGACUGAGAGGUUAACCCCCCACACUGGUACUGAGACACGGACCAGACUCCUACGGGAGGCAGCAGUGAGGAAUAUUGGUCCAAUGGUCGGAAGACUGAACCAGCCAUGCCGCGUGAAGGUCACGGCCCUAUGGGUCCUUAAAACUUCUUUUGGUAAAGGGGAGCCAAAUUAAAGGGCGUACGUGUACGUCGAUGAGGAC